This is a long non-coding RNA of Sinocyclocheilus grahami, 685 nucleotides long. RefSeq lists it as uncharacterized. The transcript has 2 exons. NCBI's taxonomy places the organism in Eukaryota, Metazoa, Chordata, Actinopteri, Cypriniformes, Cyprinidae. The record is from RefSeq and is a predicted model, not a curated record.
CAGACAGGCCAGUCUGAAUGAGGCUGCUGAAAGGUAUUAUGGGAAGGCAGCAGAUUUAAGACCUGAUCAUCCAGCAGCUCUGAUGAAUCUCGGGGCGAUCCUCCAUCUUAAUGGGAAGCUGAAGGAAGCUGAGAGCAACUACCUCCGUGCGCUGCAGCUCAAACCAGACGACUUCAUCACUCAGUCCAACCUCCACAAACUCUGGAAUGUCAUGCAGAAACAGGGUCUACGAGCCUCCGGGACGUGAUCGGCUGCUGGAACAUGUGCUGAUUAUUUCAUCUGUGGACGUCUGAUCUGAUUUUGAGCUGGAAUUUUCUGCUGGUUCAGUGCUUAUGGACAGAUGUUGGUGGAACUGGUAAAAACUUGAACUAGUCUGGAGGUAGGGAAUGAAGAAGGAGCCUCUGUGAAGUUCUGCUUUGGACAGUAAAAACCCCUACAAGAAUAGUAAAGUGCACAAACACAGAAGAGAUGGUUUGUAACAUGUAUUCUUCUGAGAGCACUGACCAUGUUGUAUUUAGGUGAUAUUUUUUUCCCUACUGCAGUCUUUUUUUUUUCUUUAAUGACUUUAAAAAAGAGUUGAGAUUGUCAUUAUGCUGGUAUUUAAUAUGCCUCCUCUUAAUUUAUUGUUGAUCAAUGAACAGUUUGUCACCUACAAUUGUUGUUAAUAAAACUUAAAUUCUCAGUA